GAUGAACGCUGGCGGCGUGCCUAAUACAUGCAAGUCGAGCGAACGGACGAGAAGCUUGCUUUUCUGAUGUUAGCGGCGGACGGGUGAGUAACACGUGGAUAACCUACCUAUAAGACUGGGAUAACUUCGGGAAACCGGAGCUAAUACCGGAUAAUAUUUUGAACCGCAUGGUUCAAAAGUGAAAGACGGUCUUGCUGUCACUUAUAGAUGGAUCCGCGCUGCAUUAGCUAGUUGGUAAGGUAACGGCUUACCAAGGCAACGAUGCAUAGCCGACCUGAGAGGGUCAUAAGCCAGAUCGUAACUGAAACAGGGGCCAGACUGCAACGGAUGGGAGCAGUAGGGAAUCUUCCGCAAUGAGCGAAAGCCUGACGGAGCAACGCUGCGUGAGUGAUGAAGGUCUUCGGAUCGUAAAACUCUGUUAUUAGGGGAGAACAUAUGUGUAAGUAACUGGGCACAUAUUGACGGUACCUAAUCAGAAAGCCACGGCUAACUACGUG
RNAcentral lists this ribosomal RNA (497 nucleotides) under uncultured bacterium. RNAcentral describes it as "partial 16S ribosomal RNA". It matches the Rfam family "Bacterial small subunit ribosomal RNA", at positions 28 to 507 of the family's 1533-position model. The record is from RNAcentral.